CUUGUGCCACGCUUCAGUACCCAUAAAAAAAUUCAGUAUUUAGGGCUUUGGACCUGUGGAUUUGUUCUCGUUGCUUGGUGUAGGCUUCAAUUUUCUCCAAAGUUAGCUCCAUUUUUCAACUCCUAUUCUUUCGAUCCGUUUGUUAUUAUCACUGAGUUUGAAAGAAUGUCUAGGGUUUACGUUGGGAAUUUGGACCCUCGAGUUAAUGAAAGGGAUCUUGAAGAUGAAUUUCGCAUGUUCGGUGUUCUUCGCAGUGUCUGGGUUGCUCGAAGGCCACCAGGGUAUGCAUUUAUUGAGUUUGAUGAUCGCAGAGAUGCUGUAGAUGCAAUUCGUGCAUUGGAUGGGAAGAAUGGUUGGCGUGUGGAGCUUUCUCAUAAUUCUAAAAGUGGUGGAGGUCGUGGUGGUGGUCGUGGCCGUGGCCGUGGUGGAGGUGAUGACUUGAAGUGUUAUGAAUGUGGAGAGCCUGGCCAUUUUGCUCGUGAGUGUCGUUUGCGCAUUGGUUCUCGUGGCUUGGGAAGUGGCCAACGCCGUAGCCCCAGCCCUCGACGCCGUAGGAGUCCAAGUUAUGGGCAUGGCCGCAGCCCCCGAGGAAAAAGAUCUCCACGUCGCCGCAGCAUAUCACCUCGACGUGGUCGUGGUUACAGCAGGUCCCCUCCAUAUCGCCAUUCCCAUCGUGAUUCACCUUAUGCUAAUGGAGACUAAGCUUGGAACUUGCAGUGGAGAUAUGCAUGAUGAACCUGAUCACAUAUUUGCAGUACUGUAGUCUUUAUAGAAUCUGAAUAUGAUAGAUAGUACUAGUGUUUGUGUCAUGGCUCUAAGGUUUGUUAGGAACUUGGCUUUGGAUGGCUCUACAAAAUCUUUCAGCUGCCAAGGGGGCUGCUAUGGGUGCCGUUUUGUGUGGGCUAGCUAUCUUCAUACUUGGAGCAUUGUAUCGCCGCAUUACUGCAUCUUUAAUGCAUCCCAUCUCUGCUCUGCUUCUCUGCACCACAUCAUCUACUGGUCGUUGCCCCUAGAUAUUGUCAGCUUUGAGUCCCAUGUUGAAAAUGGUUUAUGUUCAGAAAUUGUUCUUCUGCAACAAAGCAUUUGAAGCUGUUUAUUGUGCUUCUCUCCCUGCUUUUCUGCUUCGUAUCAUCCACUAGUCUCUCGCUAUGCGCAUGUUCGGCUUGAAAUAGAUGUUGAAAUUUGAAUUGCAUAGAAACCUGUUAGCUCACGUCCCAUCUUUUGUGCCUCAACGGAAGUCAUCUGAUCUACUUCGACCUUUUCUCCUCUGCUAGCUGGUUAAAGGUAGCCCUAAUUCAAGGGUUAUUGUGUGGUAAUGAAUGGUUCAAAGUUAAUGGUAACAAUAAACAACGAAUGAAAUAAUGACCAUUUGUGGCUCCAAUUUGGUAGGUUACAGGGUCCAAACUGAGUUCAUUACUUCAUGGGAACCCUAUAUGGAAUGAUAUGCUGAGUCUGCUUGAAGGUUAGAACUGGAAGCAUUCCAAUCAUUGCCAGUUUAUUUUUAUUUAUUUAUUUAUUUAUUUUUGGUCUUGCAUUUCUACAUGUGAAUCAUUUUUAUCCACAGGUUUUGUACAGGUAAUAAAUUAUAUUGCUUUAAACCAGCCCCCCGUUAUUUAUUUAUUUUGGCGCUGGGAUUUAUACAAUAUAUUUUUUGUUUGCUUGCAAUUUGACUAGUGGGUGUGGACAUCCCAUGAUGCCUAAACAGCCAUUGUUGUAUAUUUCUUUAAUCGAGUGAACAUUUCAAAUGACAAGCCUGAAAAAUAUUGCAUUUAUUGGAUA
Molecule: RNA transcript, 1779 nt
Organism: Mangifera indica (mango)
Lineage: Eukaryota; Viridiplantae; Streptophyta; Magnoliopsida; Sapindales; Anacardiaceae
Gene name: serine/arginine-rich splicing factor RSZ21
Exons: 7
Source: RefSeq, a predicted model, not a curated record